Molecule: long non-coding RNA, 1678 nt
Organism: Quercus robur (English oak)
Lineage: Eukaryota; Viridiplantae; Streptophyta; Magnoliopsida; Fagales; Fagaceae
Exons: 4
Source: RefSeq, a predicted model, not a curated record
UUUCUCUCUCUCUCUCUCUCUCUCCCUUGCGCAGCUGCUUCUCCUUCAGCCCAUUCUCUGCCUCUUCUUCAAUCCAUUGUCACAGCAGCCCGAUACCAGUCCACACAAGGCCAAGCCUCUCUCUUUGCCAUCACUGUUGCUUCGAUGAUCGAAACCCAUGCUUCUAUAUUUGGACCGGUCCACCUGGUUGUUGGCUCCAAACUUGAAAAUGCUUCAGGACCAGAGGAUCUCCAUUGUUCCAAACUGAAGAAGCAAAUAUGGGGACAGUUUCAAAUGAACCUUGUUUAUAUAGAUAUACUUUCUCCUAGGUGAAAGGCUUUAUUUUCGUUUCUCUUAUAUAUAUAUAUAUAUAUAUAUGAAAAUAAACUCUCCACAGCAAGUGUCAGACUCACUUACCCGGAUUCACAUCCAGUGCAAUUGCUAGGGUAUUGCACGGGGUGCAAUACCUCAAUUCUCAGCCAUAGGUUUAAUCUAAUGGCUUAAGCUUUUGACACCUCACCAAUCCACUCUGGCAAUCCGUGUGCUCACUUUUCUUUUCAUAUUAGCUUCCCAAAUUUCAAUUUCAGUAAAACACUCUCUCCUCUCUCUUUCUCUCCCACUUCAACCGGUGUCUCUCUCGCCUCCACCACUCUCUCAACACCUCCACGCUUCCCUCAACCUCGUCGUCACCGCUGCCAGCAUACUCAACUCAGACCCAUCAGCAAAUUCGAAGAAUGAACUCACUAUUUGAAGCCAAAUCCCCACGCCUUGUAGAGCGCUUUUUAGACCCAGAUCAGAGAGCAAGGUUGGGGGUUGGAGAGAAUCGGGUGUAGAGAAGUUGAUGAAGCUCUCUCUUCACGGCACAGCCACUAGUCCGGAUCUCCAUUUCAGACAAUACUAGCCUUUUUCUCAUCGGAAAUCCCUCAAAUCACCGCUUCCUACAUCGGAAAUCCCUAAGCUUCUCUCUCUCCUCAUCAUCUCUCUUCUCUCUUGUUCCUUUAUACUAUCUCCUCACCUCUUCUUCAACUCUGUUUCCACUUUCUCUCUACUCUAUUCAUUUGGAGACCCCUUUGCUGAUAUGGGUGCAAAUACUCCCGUGUUCUUCAGUCUUUAAGGGAACAAUAUGCUGUGAUAGGAGCAAUAUUCGUUUUGAUAUUUGUGUUAUGAAAGGGGAUGUUAGAACACACUCUGCUUCCUCUUCAAUCUUCCUUUACACCUCAAGAGACGAAUAAUUAUGGUGAUGAAGGGGGAGAUGAGGUAAUCCAGCAUGAAAAGAUCAGACCAUAUACAUGAAAAUGGGAAAAGGGUACUAUGGACACCAUUGAUGAAUUAGACCUUAUUGCAAAGAAAGAGCAUUCUGGUGUAAAUCAUCGUUAUGAUGUUCGGCAUGAUGUUCCGGCUGUGUUCCUAUGCAUGUGAUGUGUGGCUUAGUUAUAAACUUAUAAUUAUAUAUUGUAAUGUACAGUCAAGAAGCAAGAGGCACACCAAGUAGAACUUAAUGAGUAGGUCAUGCUAUCUGAGGUUGUCGAAGAAUUUGAUCUUGAAGCAUACAAUUUGUGGGAAUUAUGUAUUAUGAAUUUAUGAUGAUGGGAAGAGUUGUUUCUUGUUAACAAAGUGUAUAUUUCAACAAAACUAUUGUUAUAUGGCCUUGUGGUCAAAGUGUACAUUCUAAUAAAACUAUGUUCAUUUUUAGAUCAAA